RNAcentral lists this ribosomal RNA (470 nucleotides) under Paenibacillus chibensis. Its description in RNAcentral is "bacterial SSU rRNA". It matches the Rfam family "Bacterial small subunit ribosomal RNA", at positions 69 to 522 of the family's 1533-position model. The record is from RNAcentral. Lineage: Bacteria; Bacillati; Bacillota; Bacilli; Caryophanales; Paenibacillaceae.
UGAUGAGAAGCUUGCUUCUCUGAUGCUUAGCGGCGGACGGGUGAGUAACACGUAGGUAACCUGCCUGUAAGACUGGGAUAACUACCGGAAACGGUAGCUAAUACCGGAUAAUUUAUUUUCUCUCCUGGGGAGAUAAUGAAAGACGGAGCAAUCUGUCACUUACAGAUGGGCCUGCGGCGCAUUAGCUAGUUGGUGAGGUAACGGCUCACCAAGGCGACGAUGCGUAGCCGACCUGAGAGGGUGAACGGCCACACUGGGACUGAGACACGGCCCAGACUCCUACGGGAGGCAGCAGUAGGGAAUCUUCCGCAAUGGACGAAAGUCUGACGGAGCAACGCCGCGUGAGUGAUGAAGGUUUUCGGAUCGUAAAGCUCUGUUGCCAGGGAAGAACGUCCGGUAGAGUAACUGCUACCGGAGUGACGGUACCUGAGAAGAAAGCCCCGGCUAACUACGUGCCAGCAGCCGCGGUA